This 279-nucleotide ribosomal RNA is filed under the name uncultured bacterium. RNAcentral describes it as "partial 16S ribosomal RNA". It matches the Rfam family "Bacterial small subunit ribosomal RNA", at positions 506 to 784 of the family's 1533-position model. The record is from RNAcentral.
UGCCAGCCGCCGCGGUAAUACGGAGGGGGCUAGCGCUACUCGGAAUUACUGGGCGUAAAGCGAGCGUAGGCGGUUAAUCAAGUUGGGGGUGAAAGCCCGGGGCUCAACCCCGGAAAUGCCCUCAAAACUAGUUAACUAGAGGACGGGAGAGGGGAGUGGAACUCCCAGUGUAGAGGUGAAAUUCGUAGAUAUUGGGAAGAACACCAGUGGCGAAGGCGACUCUCUGGACCGAUUUUGACGCUGAGGCGCGAGAGCGUGGGGAGCAAACAGGAUUAGAUA